GUUUCAUUUAAAAUUUAUAUAGAAUUUUAUUUUUUAGUUAAAAAGCUAAAAUAUGAUCAAAAGACGAGAAGACCCUAUAAAUCUUAAUUAUUUAAUAAUUUUUAAUUUAUUUUGGUUUUUUUUGUUAUAAAUUUAUUAAAUAAUUUUAUUGGGGUGAUAUUAAAAUUUAAAUAACUUUUAAUAAUUUUUGUCAUUUAUUUAUGAUUAAGUGAUCCAUUAUUAGUGAUUAAAAAAUUAACUUACUUUAGGGAUAACAGCGUAAUUUUUUUGGAGAGUUCUUAUCGAUAAAAAAGUUUGCGACCUCGAUGUUGGAUUAAGAUUCAUAUUUAAAUGCAGAAGUUUAAAUAUUAAGUCUGUUCGACUUUUUAUUCUUACAUGAUCUGAGUUCAAACCGGUGUAAGCCAGGUUGGUUUCUAUCUUUGAUUUAAUAAAAUAUUUUAGUACGAAAGGAAUUAAUAUUUAUUUUUAAGAAAUUAUUUUAUGAAU
RNAcentral lists this ribosomal RNA (486 nucleotides) under Teleopsis dalmanni. RNAcentral's name for it is "partial 16S ribosomal RNA". The stretch from base 250 to 408 matches the Rfam family "Bacterial large subunit ribosomal RNA", at positions 2473 to 2632 of the family's 2925-position model. Lineage: Eukaryota; Metazoa; Arthropoda; Insecta; Diptera; Diopsidae. The record is from RNAcentral.